This 492-nucleotide ribosomal RNA is filed under the name uncultured bacterium. Its description in RNAcentral is "partial 16S ribosomal RNA". It matches the Rfam family "Bacterial small subunit ribosomal RNA", at positions 29 to 507 of the family's 1533-position model. The record is from RNAcentral.
AGCGAACGCUGGCGGUAGGCCUAACACAUGCAAGUCGAACGGCAGCACAGUAAGAGCUUGCUCUUACGGGUGGCGAGUGGCGGACGGGUGAGGAAUACAUCGGAAUCUACUUUUUCGUGGGGGAUAACGUAGGGAAACUUACGCUAAUACCGCAUACGACCUACGGGUGAAAGCAGGGGAUCUUCGGACCUUGCGCGAUUGAAUGAGCCGAUGUCGGAUUAGCUAGUUGGCGGGGUAAAGGCCCACCAAGGCGACGAUCCGUAGCUGGUCUGAGAGGAUGGUCAGCCACACUGGAACGGAGACACGGUCCAGACUCCUACGAGAGGCAGCAGUGGGGAAUAUUAGACAAUGGGCGCAAGCCUGAUCCAGCCAGACCGCGUGGGUGAAGAAGACCUUCGGGUUGUAAAGCCCUUUUGUUGGGAAAGAACAGCAGCAGGUUAAUACCCCGCUGUUCUGACGGUACCCAAAGAAUAAGCACCGGCUAACUUCGUG